This 50-nucleotide small RNA is filed under the name unclassified sequences. Its description in RNAcentral is "Streptococcus sRNA SpF59 (ldcC RNA)". It matches the Rfam family "Streptococcus sRNA SpF59 (ldcC RNA)". The record is from Rfam by way of RNAcentral.
CGACCGCUUUUUUAAGCCAAGGCCAGACGGACAGCCGGGUCGGAUGCCGA